CGUGCGGACGCGGUGUCCGCACGCCCGCCGCGGUACCUGGUACGGCCGUAGGCGG
This is a regulatory RNA element of Kitasatospora setae KM-6054, 55 nucleotides long. It matches the Rfam family "L17-Actino-Proteobacteria ribosomal protein leader". The record is from Rfam. Lineage: Bacteria; Bacillati; Actinomycetota; Actinomycetes; Kitasatosporales; Streptomycetaceae.